AAACAGUACAACAUCUGCAUCAUCAAUGAAAUACGCCAAGUUUGUGGCAGAGAUCGAGUGGUUGCUCGCUUCGAAAAAAUCAGGCCUUUGCUUCAGUAUCACUACAACUCGUUCAAGUGGGCCUGCGAAAGUAAAAAAUUAGCGGGCGCUUGCAACGAAGAAAACUUGAAGCGUGAUUUGUCAGGUUGCUUGGGCUUCAUUAACACGAAGGUUUCACUCUAUUCCUAUAAUGAACUCAACGUUCAUGACAUCAAAACUGCAUGCAACGCGUUUCAAGAUUACAUAUCGUGCGUGAAACUGGCCGUCGCUUCAAACUGUGGCCACUCCUUCGAUGCGUUGCAGCAUGAAAGUCUCAAGCCAUACGUAGUGGAGCCUUACAAACGUUACAAGUGGGUUUGUCGCAAGCUGCCCCCUCAAGGUAAGGA
Molecule: long non-coding RNA, 425 nt
Organism: Rhipicephalus sanguineus (brown dog tick)
Lineage: Eukaryota; Metazoa; Arthropoda; Arachnida; Ixodida; Ixodidae
Exons: 3
Source: RefSeq, a predicted model, not a curated record